Molecule: unclassified non-coding RNA, 253 nt
Filed under: uncultured Parcubacteria group bacterium
Lineage: Bacteria
Description: contains 16S-23S intergenic spacer region
Rfam family: Bacterial small subunit ribosomal RNA
Source: RNAcentral
UACAGAGGCCCCAAGCAUUAUCCGGAUUUACUGGGCGUAAAGGGUGCGUAGGCGGUGUGAUUAGUCAGAUGUUAAAUCCUGGGGCUCAACCCCAGAACCGCAUUUGAAACGGUCACACUAGAAGGUGUUAGAGGCAAGCAGAACUCUCGGUGUAGGGGUGAAAUCCGUUGAUAUCGAGGGGAAUACCAAAUGCGAAGGCAGCUUGCUGGGACAUUCUUGACGCUGAGGCACGAAAGCAUGGGUAGCGAAGCGG